This 447-nucleotide ribosomal RNA is filed under the name uncultured bacterium. RNAcentral describes it as "partial 16S ribosomal RNA". It matches the Rfam family "Bacterial small subunit ribosomal RNA", at positions 29 to 523 of the family's 1533-position model. The record is from RNAcentral.
AACGAACGCUGGCGGCAGGCUUAACACAUGCAAGUCGAACGCCCCGCAAGGGGAGUGGCAGACGGGUGAGUAACGCGUGGGAAUCUACCCAGUUCUACGGAACAACUGAGGGAAACUUCAGCUAAUACCGUAUACGCCCUAAGGGGGAAAGAUUUAUCGGAAUUGGAUGAGCCCGCGUUGGAUUAGCUAGUUGGUGAGGUAACGGCUCACCAAGGCGACGAUCCAUAGCUGGUCUGAGAGGAUGAUCAGCCACACUGGGACUGAGACACGGCCCAGACUCCUACGGGAGGCAGCAGUGGGGAAUAUUGGACAAUGGGCGCAAGCCUGAUCCAGCCAUGCCGCGUGAGUGAUGAAGGCCUUAGGGUUGUAAAGCUCUUUCAGUGGGGACGAUAAUGACGGUACCCACAGAAGAAGCCCCGGCUAACUUCGUGCCAGCAGCCGCCGCCG